This 465-nucleotide ribosomal RNA is filed under the name uncultured bacterium. Its description in RNAcentral is "partial 16S ribosomal RNA". It matches the Rfam family "Bacterial small subunit ribosomal RNA", at positions 338 to 795 of the family's 1533-position model. The record is from RNAcentral.
CCUACGGGAGGCAGCAGUGGGGAAUAUUGCGCAAUGGGCGAAAGCCUGAUGCAGCGACGCCGCGUGAGGGAUGAAGGUCUUCGGAUUGUAAACCUCUGUCAGCAGGGAAGAACGGUCACUGUGCUAAUCAGCAGUGAAUUGACGGUACCUGCAACGGAAGCACCGGCUAACUCCGUGCCAGCAGCCGCGGUAAUACGGAGGGUGCGAGCGUUAAUCGGAAUUACUGGGCGUAAAGCGCUCGUAGGCGGUAUGUCAAGUCAAGGGUGAAAUCCCCGCGCUCAACGUGGGAACUGCGUUUGAAAGUGGCUAACUGGAGUGUGUGAGAGGAUAGUGGAAUUCCAGGUGUAGGAGUGAAAUGCGUAGAGAUCUGGAGGAACAGCAGUGGCGAAGGCGGCUAUCUGGCACAUAACUGACGCUGAGGAGCGAAAGCGUGGGUAGCAAACAGGAUUAGAUACCCUAGUAGUC